This is a long non-coding RNA of Tripterygium wilfordii, 396 nucleotides long. RefSeq lists it as uncharacterized. The transcript has 3 exons. The record is from RefSeq and is a predicted model, not a curated record. Lineage: Eukaryota; Viridiplantae; Streptophyta; Magnoliopsida; Celastrales; Celastraceae.
AGAUUGGAGCUUGGAUUGAAGUGUGGAGGUAGGAAGAGAAGGGAUUGAGCAAGGGUUUGAAGAAUUGACUAAGGUUAUUUGAACUUGGAGAAGUGGUUGCUAGAGUCGUGGUGAGGUUUUUGCUCAAACGAGGUGAUAUAGGUACUAGCGCUAGUGCUCCGACUACGGAUCAGUAGGGAGGAGCGUGACGCGGAUGGCCUGGACUUGGGGUGGUUUGUGGUUUUAUUUUGUGUGGUGUUUGAUUAGUCUUUGGCUUAAGUGUAUAUUGGGAUAUAUACGUAAUGUGUGGGAUGAAUGAUGAUUUUGGAUGGUUAGGCUUGAUGCCUUGAUAUGUAUGUGUGUAUGAUGAUUUAUGUUUGGGAUGAUAUGGCCGGAGGCCCUGGAUAUUUAGUUUGG